UAAUCGGAACAGUGAAAGAAAAGGGGGUACAUUAGGCCAUGAUCGUCGGUCAACAACGAUCCACGAGACGAUCUCUCUCCAACGCGGACAUCACCUCGGGUUAGUUUAACGAUCACACGUUGGUGGGCAAUCACCCUCUCUUCGACUAUUGUCCACGGAAUAGACGAAGAGCAACGGGCGUUUAACAGUGCCUCAGUUUCAAGAAAAUCAAUAUCCCAUGGCCACACGCACAGUCGACAAUGUGCAUAUAGAGUUUGCUGUGACGUCACGUCACAGAUCCCAACUACAGUUCGAAUAAGUUUUUCCGUCUCGACAUACUGCGGCUACUCUGGCUACCCCAACAUUGUCCCACAUUUCAUACGAUACCAGAAAACGCGAAUCAAUCAUUCGCGAAUGCGUGCGUUGACGUGAUAGAAGUUGAUUCAAUCUUGGUUACAUUCUAACGGCGAACGAUAUGAUCCACUGAUUUAUUCUCAAAACUCUUUUAAUCGAGUCUAGACACGACAUUACACGCGGUACGAUCGACCUUACUUGUAAUGGAAAAUUUGGCUCACAAUUACGGUCUACUCUACUUAUUGACGAGGGUGGGUUAUCUCUCGAUUGUUAAAAUCUAGAUUAGAAAUCGAUCAGUUUUGUCUAUUUUGGUUCCUCCUUUUUCCCUGCAUCGUCAUCGAUCAAUAACAUGGGUCUUAUCUAUUUUUUCAAAAAUUU
This 711-nucleotide unclassified non-coding RNA is filed under the name Athalia rosae (coleseed sawfly). RNAcentral's name for it is "misc RNA ENSAEAG00005011723.1". Lineage: Eukaryota; Metazoa; Arthropoda; Insecta; Hymenoptera; Athaliidae. The record is from RNAcentral.